Molecule: ribosomal RNA, 253 nt
Filed under: uncultured bacterium
Lineage: Bacteria
Description: partial 16S ribosomal RNA
Rfam family: Bacterial small subunit ribosomal RNA
Source: RNAcentral
UACAGAGGGUGCGAGCGUUAAUCGGAAUUACUGGGCGUAAAGCGCACGUAGUCGGCUUUGCAAGUCGGGUGUGAAAUCCCCGGGCUCAACCUGGGAACUGCAUCCGAGACUGCAUUGCUAGAGUAUGGGAGAGGGAAGCGGAAUUUCUGGUGUAGCAGUGAAAUGCGUAGAUAUCAGAAGGAACAUCAGUGGCGAAGGCGGCUUCCUGGUCCAGCACCGACGUUCAGGCACGAAAGCGUGGGGAGCAAACAGG